AUUGAACGCUGGCGGCAGGCUUAACACAUGCAAGUCGAGCGGGGAAAUAUAGCUUGCUAUAUGACCUAGCGGCGGACGGGUGAGAAUGCUUAGGAAUCUGCCUAUUAGUGGGGGACAACACCCCGAAGGGGGUGCUAAUACCGCAUCCCCCCUACGGGGGAAAGCAGGGGACCAUUUGACCUUGCCCAAAUAGAUGAGCCUAGUCCGGAUUAGCUGGUUGGUGGGGUAAGGGCCUACCAAGGCGCCGAUCUGUAGCGGGUCUGGGAGGAUGAUCCGCCACACUGGGACUGAGACACGGCCCAGACUCCUACGGGAGGCAGCAGUGGGGAAUAUUGGACAAUGGGGGGAACCCUGAUCCAGCCAUGCCGCGUGUGUGAAGAAGGCCUUUUGGUUGUAAAGCACUUUAAGCGAGGAGGAGGCUCUUGUAGAUAAUACCUACAGUGAGUGGACGUUACUCGCAGAAUAAGCACCGGCUAACUCUGUGCCAGCCGCCGCGGUAA
RNAcentral lists this ribosomal RNA (500 nucleotides) under uncultured bacterium. RNAcentral's name for it is "partial 16S ribosomal RNA". It matches the Rfam family "Bacterial small subunit ribosomal RNA", at positions 30 to 523 of the family's 1533-position model. The record is from RNAcentral.